CACGACGUCGACAAGAACCCAAAUUUUUCACUCCGUUCUUUUCGUGUUUGUCGCCAUCAUCAUGAAGAUGUCAAGAGAUCACCAGUAACAAAGCUCACAAUGAUCUGAUUAUGAUUUAGGCCUACAACUAAAAAGGGCCAGUAAUUCCUGAAACCAAGUACAGAUGGAGUCUCCCCUACCGACACAGUGAAGGCUGCAGGGUAUAAAGGAGAUCAACUGCCUUGGAAAACAUCAGUAUCAUCAAGACAUCUUAGCAGCUCAUCUGAGGAUC
This is a long non-coding RNA of Asterias rubens (European starfish), 271 nucleotides long. RefSeq lists it as uncharacterized. The record is from RefSeq and is a predicted model, not a curated record. The transcript has 3 exons. Lineage: Eukaryota; Metazoa; Echinodermata; Asteroidea; Forcipulatida; Asteriidae.